This is a long non-coding RNA of Anopheles arabiensis, 1815 nucleotides long. RefSeq lists it as uncharacterized. The record is from RefSeq and is a predicted model, not a curated record. The transcript has 2 exons. Lineage: Eukaryota; Metazoa; Arthropoda; Insecta; Diptera; Culicidae.
CUUGACCUGAUAUCUUUACGGUCCUUGCAUAUAUGCUAAAAGACUGUUGUGUGUGUCGGGUCGCGGCCUAUGAUCGAGUGCCGACCCUCGGUAGCCCGAUCGCUCCCGAAGCCCUUAACGGCCAUUCGGACGUCGGAUGCUGUCAGUUGCACGACAGCAUCGAGUCGCGGUUACACUGCACCGUUUCUGUACACAACACUAAGCAACCAGUUCAUGAUAUUUACUCAUAUAUUCAGUUGUGAUCAUCCUCAAUCGGAAAUUUUAUAAUUCUAAUACAUAGCUCAUCAAAUGUGCUAACUUUGAGCCUUGUUAAACAGUUCUUUAGACGCCUCGAUUGAACCAGAGUAAAAGAUCAGGCCAGUAUCUAAAACACUCUUGGACAACUAAGCGUAGCCAUGUUAAUAAUUUUCGUAACUACCCGCUUGGCAAAGAGUAUCUCAUUUUGAUGCCUCUCGCUACCCCUGACCCUAGUUUUAAAGGAAUCAUGCGACACACUCGCACUCCACUACCCCAUCCCAUGGAAAAACGCUCCCACCAUCGAGGUGUUGACCAAAAUUCCGCUGUGUGCAUGAGACACACACUCGCACUCCUCCCGCCCUCCACAGAUGAACGCACCCACCGUUGCGAAGAUGCGAGAAUUUUUGCUCUGAGCGUGAGACCCUGAAGCGCAAGAGAUGUGUUAAGACGAUCAUAAUUCGAUAUGGUCAAAAUGCGUCGAUUAUCGUUUCAUUUAUCUGGUAAUGAUGUUUUCACUUCAUCAAAAUUUUAAACAUAAUCAACUAGGCUGAUAACAAUAGUUGAAAUUUAAAACAGAAUAAAAUCAAUUCAUUUGAAAUGAAAUAAAUUACAUUAUACUCUAUUUUGACCAUAUGAUCAACACUUGUACAUAAUGCCAUUUAUUUUGUGUUCUUCACUCUCGCGCUGUGUUGUGAUCGUUCGAAACUCAUUGCCAGAACGAAUGCAAAUUUCAUUUUGGAAGGAUCGGUGCCGGAAGAGGCAGCGAAAAUUAUGAAAUGAUAAUAGAAAAGUGGUUAAGUUAAUCGUGAAAGAUGUCAACGCAGGCGUAAAUGCAGUACAGUGGAGUGCCGUUUAUCCGGGUACCUUUUAUCCGGUUAUCCGUUUAUCCGUGCUGUUGAAAACUGACAGUUCAAUACCUAGAUGACAUUGCGUGCUGACGAGGAUAUUUGAAAUAGCGGUUACCAGAACAUUUUGUCAUAACAAAAUACGCUAUAAUAUAUAGCACAUUGCAAAUAUUCUCUUCAAAAAACAUGAAGUUUAUAAAACUAGCUAGGUUUUACUAAAAAAUAAUAUUAAUUUCAAAAACAAACCAGGAUUUUGUGAUAAAAUAAAUACUUUCACUCAUUAUCCGUGUUAUUCGCUUAUCCGGGCGAGGUCAAGUCCCGAGAAGCCGGAUAAACGGCGCUCCACUGUAUGUUUUGUUACAUGAUCUACGGGUAAGUGUAUGCAUAAGAAGAAGAAUCUUCCAAAUGAUGUUUGUGUUCUAACAAUCGUACUGCUUUUAAUAUUUGUUUAUUCUUCUAUUAUUUUCUAUCACACGUAGCUAUUUCAUCACCAAAGCUUCUGAUAACAGAUCAAAGCAGAUGGAUAGGGCAUACAGAGUCGCCGUUUAAUUUAAAAUAUCUUCGUGAUCGGCAAACGCAUCAAACAGCAAGGGUUUUUUUUCCAACACCACGCACCAUCGGUGGAGCAAGCAGCCAACGUUUUGUUCGCCCAGCGCGCACCAUCAUGAAUUGAAAUAUUCCGAUUAGCUUUGUGAAUAAAAAACUGCACACUUACUGUAGGAAUUUCCUGGAA